This is a small nucleolar RNA of Pygocentrus nattereri (red-bellied piranha), 129 nucleotides long. Ensembl annotates it as Small nucleolar RNA SNORA77. The record is from Ensembl. NCBI's taxonomy places the organism in Eukaryota, Metazoa, Chordata, Actinopteri, Characiformes, Serrasalmidae.
GCAGACUCACUCUGUUUUGGGCCGUCUCCUCCGGCCUUGAAACUUUUUCUGUCUGCUAGAGCAUCCUGCAGAGCGCUCCACGCCAGUCUGUCUCUGUAGACCGACUCCAGGGUGUUCUGCUAUAUAUCU